UACGAAGGGGGCUAGCGUUGCUCGGAAUCACUGGGCGUAAAGGGUGCGUAGGCGGGUUUUUAAGUCAGGGGUGAAAUCCUGGAGCUCAACUCCAGAACUGCCUUUGAUACUGGGAAGCUCGAGUCCGGAAGAGGUAAGUGGAACUCCGAGUGUAGAGGUGAAAUUCGUAGAUAUUCGGAAGAACACCAGUGGCGAAGGCGGCUUACUGGUCCGGUACUGACGCUGAGGUGCGAAAGCGUGGGGAGCAAACAGG
This 253-nucleotide ribosomal RNA is filed under the name uncultured bacterium. RNAcentral's name for it is "partial 16S ribosomal RNA". It matches the Rfam family "Bacterial small subunit ribosomal RNA", at positions 524 to 776 of the family's 1533-position model. The record is from RNAcentral.